This 292-nucleotide ribosomal RNA is filed under the name uncultured bacterium. RNAcentral describes it as "partial 16S ribosomal RNA". It matches the Rfam family "Bacterial small subunit ribosomal RNA", at positions 505 to 796 of the family's 1533-position model. The record is from RNAcentral.
GUGUCAGCAGCCGCGGUAAUACAGAGGGUGCGAGCGUUGUCCGGAAUCACUGGGCGUAAAGGGCGCGUAGGUGGCGCUGCAAGUCGGUGGUGAAAGCUCGUCGCUCAACGACGAGUCGGCCAUCGAAACUGCAGGGCUCGAGCACUGUAGGGGCAGAUGGAAUUCCGGGUGUAGCGGUGGAAUGCGUAGAGAUCCGGAAGAACACCAGUGGCGAAGGCGGUCUGCUGGGCAGUAGCUGACACUGAGGCGCGACAGCGUGGGGAGCAAACAGGAUUAGAAACCCCAGUAGUCC